This 67-nucleotide transfer RNA is filed under the name Marmota monax (woodchuck). Its description in RNAcentral is "tRNA.Pro". The stretch from base 5 to 64 matches the Rfam family "tRNA", at positions 6 to 65 of the family's 71-position model. Rfam says of the family: Transfer RNA (tRNA) molecules are approximately 80 nucleotides in length. Lineage: Eukaryota; Metazoa; Chordata; Mammalia; Rodentia; Sciuridae. The record is from RNAcentral.
GGAUUGUGGCUCAGCGGUAGAGCGCUCGCCUAGGAUGGGAGGGACCUGGGUUCGAUCCUCAGCACCA